UCCUACGGGAGGCAGCAGUGGGGAAUUUUCCGCAAUGGGCGCAAGCCUGACGGAGCAACGCCGCGUGAGGGAUGAAGGCCUCUGGGCUGUAAACCUCUUUUAUCAAGGAAGAAAAUCUGACGGUACUUGAUGAAUAAGCCACGGCUAAUUCCGUGCCAGCAGCCGCGGUAAUA
RNAcentral lists this ribosomal RNA (173 nucleotides) under uncultured bacterium. RNAcentral's name for it is "partial 16S ribosomal RNA". It matches the Rfam family "Bacterial small subunit ribosomal RNA", at positions 337 to 525 of the family's 1533-position model. The record is from RNAcentral.